This 220-nucleotide ribosomal RNA is filed under the name uncultured bacterium. RNAcentral's name for it is "partial 16S ribosomal RNA". It matches the Rfam family "Bacterial small subunit ribosomal RNA", at positions 524 to 741 of the family's 1533-position model. The record is from RNAcentral.
GACAGAGGGUGCAAACGUUGCUCGGAAUCACUGGGCGUAAAGGGCGUGUAGGCGGGUAGAUAAGUCGGGCGUGAAAUCCCUAGGCUCAACCUAGGAACUGCACUCGAAACUGUUUAUCUUGAGUGCCGGAGAGGAAAGCGGAAUUCCUGGUGUAGAGGUGAAAUUCGUAGAUAUCAGGAGGAACACCUGCGGUGUAGACGGCUUACUGGACGGGUAAACU